CUAAUAAACCAGCUGCCCUCCUCUUCCAAUCCAAUCCCCUGCUUGUCCAGACUGGGCUGGCACACCCUCGGCACCGUCACUGCAGGAGAUAGGAGGAUUGGAGGAUUGGUCCGUUUCCUGUCCUGAUCCUCCGCCUAGCCUCGAUUUGGCCGGACAGAGGAGGAAAAACACUUUGGGGAUUUCUAGAACAAAAGCUUCAACGGCUCAGAGUGAAGACUUUAGUGCCGAGGACUCGCGCGGCUGUGAAUGAGGAUUAAAAGUGAUAGUUCUUGCACAACCCAUAGGAAUGUCUCAGGUUGUUGCCUUGCAAAAGAACAGGCUGCCCAACUAAGGAUGAUCCUGGUGGAGAACGGCAUGUUUCUGAAGUAUACUGAGUA
Molecule: long non-coding RNA, 377 nt
Organism: Pygocentrus nattereri (red-bellied piranha)
Lineage: Eukaryota; Metazoa; Chordata; Actinopteri; Characiformes; Serrasalmidae
Source: Ensembl